RNAcentral lists this ribosomal RNA (468 nucleotides) under uncultured bacterium. RNAcentral's name for it is "partial 16S ribosomal RNA". It matches the Rfam family "Bacterial small subunit ribosomal RNA", at positions 28 to 507 of the family's 1533-position model. The record is from RNAcentral.
GACGAACGCUGGCGGUGUGCUUAACACAUGCAAGUCGAACGGAAAGGCCCUGCUUUUGUGGGGUGCUCGAGUGGCGAACGGGUGAGUAACACGUGAGUAACCUGCCCUUGACUUUGGGAUAACUUCAGGAAACUGGGGCUAAUACCGGAUAGGAGCUCCUGCUGCAUGGUGGGGGUUGGAAAGUUUCGGCGGUUGGGGAUGGACUCGCGGCUUAUCAGCUUGUUGGUGGGGUAGUGGCUUACCAAGGCUUUGACGGGUAGCCGGCCUGAGAGGGUGACCGGCCACCUUGGGACUGAGAUACGGCCCAGACUCCUACGGGAGGCAGCAGUGGGGAAUAUUGCACAAUGGGCGGAAGCCUGAUGCAGCAACGCCGCGUGCGGGAUGACGGCCUUCGGGUUGUAAACCGCUUUCGCCUGUGACGAAGCGUGAGUGACGGUAAUGGGUAAAGAAGCACCGGCUAACUACGUG